RNAcentral lists this ribosomal RNA (406 nucleotides) under uncultured bacterium. Its description in RNAcentral is "partial 16S ribosomal RNA". It matches the Rfam family "Bacterial small subunit ribosomal RNA", at positions 30 to 526 of the family's 1533-position model. The record is from RNAcentral.
AUUGAACGCUGGCGGCAGGCCUAACACAUGCAAGUCGAACGAGUGGCGGACGGGUGAGUAAUGUCUGGGAAACUGCCUGAUGGAGGGGGAUAACUACUGGAAACGGUAGCUAAUACCGCAUACCAGCGGCUGUGCCCAGAUGGGAGUAGCUAGUAGGUGGGGUAAAGGCUCACCGAGGCGACGAUCCAUAGCUGGUCUGAGAGGAUGACCAGCCACACUGGAACUGAGACACGGUCCAGACUCCUACGGGAGGCAGCAGUGGGGAAUCUUGCACAAUGGGCGCAAGCCUGAUGCAGCCAUGCCGCGUGUAUGAAGAAGGCCUUCGGAUUGUAAAGUACUUUCAGCGGGGAGGCGUUACCCGAAGAAGAAGCACCGGCUAACUCCGUGCCAGCAGCCGCGGUAAUUC